Molecule: small RNA, 671 nt
Filed under: Pongo abelii (Sumatran orangutan)
Lineage: Eukaryota; Metazoa; Chordata; Mammalia; Primates; Hominidae
Description: processed transcript
Source: RNAcentral
GCUGUCCAGAAAGACCAUCCCCCUGGAGCCUGGCAUUGAAAACACAGAACAAAGGAUACAAGUACAGCAGCAACACAGCCAGGAGGGCAGCCCCAGAGUUGGGAGGCCAACAGUGCUACUGGGCUCAAGUGCUGUUAUAAGGAGAAGUGUGGCUGUACACGACGCUCUGUGUGUUGAAGUGCUGAAGACCUCGGCUGGGCUGGGACUGAGUCUGGAUGGGGGAAAAUCAUCUGUGACAGGAGAUGGGCCCUUGGUCAUUAAAAGAGUGUACAAAGGUGGUGCAGCUGAACAAGCUGGAAUAAUAGAAGCUGGAGAUGAAAUUCUUGCUAUUAAUGGGAAACCUCUGGUUGGGCUCAUGCACUUUGAUGCCUGGAAUAUUAUGAAGUCUGUCCCAGAAGGACCUGUGCAGUUAUUAAUUAGAAAGCAGAGGAAUUCUUCAUGAAUUUUAACAAGAAUCAUUUUCUCAGUUCUCUUCUUUCUUUAGCAAAUCAGAGUGACUUCUUAAACCACAGGUUCUUGAAAUGGCCAACACUGGUAUAGACACAGACUAUAAAAAUCUCCAAGCGUGUGCUUACACAUGAAGCCUGACUUAACUGUAUGUGCAACAGCAAUGAAAUUAACUCCAGAAGCCUUCCACCUGGAUCACCCAGGCCGGGAGGGUUCAUUCGUUC